Molecule: ribosomal RNA, 253 nt
Filed under: uncultured bacterium
Lineage: Bacteria
Description: partial 16S ribosomal RNA
Rfam family: Bacterial small subunit ribosomal RNA
Source: RNAcentral
GACGGAGGAUGCAAGUGUUAUCCGGAGUCACUGGGCGUAAAGCGUCUGUAGGUGGUUUAAAAAGUCCACUGUUAAAACUUGAAGCUUAACUUCAAAGAUGCCGUGGAAACUUUUAAACUUGAGUAUGAUAGGGGUAGAGGGAAUUUCCAGUGGAGCGGUGAAAUGCGUAGAUAUUGGAAAGACCACCAAUGGCGAAGGCACUCUACUGGGCCAUUACUGACACUGAGAGACGAAAGCGAGGGUAGCGAAUGGG